AAAAUAAAAGAAUAUACAUCAACGUUUCGGCUCACAUCAAAUAUUUGCCAUGCUAAGGAAGGCUCCUGAUGUGAGCCGAAACGUUGAUGUAUAUUCUUUUAUUU
This is a non-coding RNA of Pelobates cultripes (western spadefoot toad), 104 nucleotides long. Lineage: Eukaryota; Metazoa; Chordata; Amphibia; Anura; Pelobatidae. The record is from the annotation of a GenBank genome assembly.